Molecule: ribosomal RNA, 468 nt
Filed under: uncultured bacterium
Lineage: Bacteria
Description: partial 16S ribosomal RNA
Rfam family: Bacterial small subunit ribosomal RNA
Source: RNAcentral
GACGAACGCUGGCGGCGUGCUUAACACAUGCAAGUCGAACGGAAAGGCCCUGCUUUUGUGGGGUGCUCGAGUGGCGAACGGGUGAGUAACACGUGAGUAACCUGCCCUUGACUUUGGGAUAACUUUAGGAAACUGGGGCUAAUACCGGAUAGGAGCUCCUGCUGCAUGGUGGGGGUUGGAAAGUUUCGGCGGUUGGGGAUGGACUCGCGGCUUAUCAGCUUGUUGGUGGGGUAGUGGCUUACCAAGGCUUUGACGGGUAGCCGGCCUGAGAGGGUGACCGGCCACAUUGGGACUGAGAUACGGCCCUGACUCCUACGGGAGGCAGCAGUGGGGAAUAUUGCACAAUGGGCGGAAGCCUGAUGCAGCAACGCCGCGUGCGGGAUGACGGCCUUCGGGUUGUAAACCGCUUUCGCCUGUGACGAAGCGUGAGUGACGGUAAUGGGUAAAGAAGCACCGGCUAACUACGUG